RNAcentral lists this ribosomal RNA (384 nucleotides) under uncultured bacterium. Its description in RNAcentral is "bacterial SSU rRNA". It matches the Rfam family "Bacterial small subunit ribosomal RNA", at positions 28 to 416 of the family's 1533-position model. The record is from RNAcentral.
GACGAACGCUGGCGGCGUGCUUCAUACAUGCAAGUCGAACGAGAAGUUACCUUCGGGUGAUGGAAAGUGGCGGACGGGUGAGUAAUGUGUAGAGAAUCUGCCCUUGAGAGGGGGACAACGAUUGGAAACGAUCGCUAAUACCCCAUAUGAGCGUAGCUGAAAUGCUAUUCUUGAAAACUCCGGUGCUCAAGGAUGAGUCUGCAUCUGAUUAGCUAGUUGGUGGUGUAAUGGACUACCAAGGCGACGACCAGUAGCUGGUUUGAGAGGAUGAUCAGCCACAAUGGGACUGAGACACGGCCCAUACUCCUACGGGAGGCAGCAUGGGGAAUAUUGGGCAAUGGGGGAAACCCGUGACCCAGCAACGCCGCGUGAAGGAGAAGGCUC